UACGAAGGGGGCUAGCGUUGUUCGAAAUUACUGGGCGUAAAGCGCGCGCAGGCGGUUCUUCAAGUCAGAGGUGAAAGCCCAGAGCUCAACUCUGGAAUGGCCUUUGAGACUAGAGAACUAGGGUACGGGAGAGGUGAGUGGAAUUCCGAGUGUAGAGGUGAAAUUCGUAGAUAUUCGGAAGAACACCAGUGGCGAAGGCGGCUCACUGGCCCGUUACCGACGCUCAGGCGCGACAGCGUGGGGAGCAAACAGG
This 253-nucleotide ribosomal RNA is filed under the name uncultured bacterium. RNAcentral's name for it is "partial 16S ribosomal RNA". It matches the Rfam family "Bacterial small subunit ribosomal RNA", at positions 524 to 776 of the family's 1533-position model. The record is from RNAcentral.